GACGAACGCUGGCGGCGUGCUUAACACAUGCAAGUCGAACGGAAAGGCCCUGCUUUUGUGGGGUGCUCGAGUGGCGAACGGGUGAGUAACACGUGAGUAACCUGCCCUUGACUUUGGGAUAACUUCAGGAAACUGGGGCUAAUACCGGAUAGGAGCUCCUGCUGCAUGGUGGGGGUUGGAAAGUUUCGGCGGUUGGGGAUGGACUCGCGGCUUAUCAGCUUGUUGGUGGGGUAGUGGCUUACCAAGGCUUUGACGGGUAGCCGGCCUGAGAGGGUGACCGGCCACAAUGGGACUAAGGUACGGCCCAGACGCCUACGGGAGGCAACAGGGGAGAAUAUUGCACAAUGGGCGGAAGCCUGAUGCAGCAACGCCGCGUGCGGGAUGACGGCCUUCGGGUUGUAAACCGCUUUCGCCUGUGACGAAGCGUGAGUGACGGUAAUGGGUAAAGAAGCACCGGCUAACUACGUG
Molecule: ribosomal RNA, 468 nt
Filed under: uncultured bacterium
Lineage: Bacteria
Description: partial 16S ribosomal RNA
Rfam family: Bacterial small subunit ribosomal RNA
Source: RNAcentral